UAUUCAUACCUCAAUUUUCUGGUGUAUAAAGAUAAAGCUUCUGUCUCCAAAAAGGAAUGAUUUCUGUACAAAGAUGUUCAUUGUACAUGAUAAGUGAAUAAUAUAUUUCUCCUACAACUUUUUUUUAAAGAUAACUGAACUGCUUAAUGAUGUGGAAAGAUUAAAACAGGCACUCAAUGGCCUUUCCCAACUCACCUACACAAGUGGGAACCCCACCAAGAGGCAGAGCCAGCUGAUUGACACUCUGCAGCACCAAGUGAAAUCUCUGGAGCAACAGCUGGCCGAUGCUGACAGACAGCACCAAGAAGUAAUUGCAAUUUAUCGGACACACCUUCUUAGUGCUGCACAGGGUCACAUGGAUGAAGAUGUUCAGGAGGCUCUGCUCCAGAUCAUACAAAUGCGGCAGGGGCUUGUGUGCUAGCAGUUAGCACUGACUGCCAGUAUCUGUUUUAUCUUGCUGGUGCUGAACAUUCUUUGUGCAACUCCAUGGUCUUUCUGGGCCUUACUGUGCUGGUAUAAUUAAAAUAAAAUAUAUUUUGUUC
Molecule: small RNA, 542 nt
Filed under: Pan troglodytes (chimpanzee)
Lineage: Eukaryota; Metazoa; Chordata; Mammalia; Primates; Hominidae
Description: processed transcript
Source: RNAcentral